CCUACGGGGGGCAGCAGUGGGGAAUAUUGGACAAUGGGGGCAACCCUGAUCCAGCCAUGCCGCGUGUGUGAAGAAGGCCCUCGGGUUGUAAAGCACUUUCAGUGAGGAAGAACGCCUGGUGGUUAAUACCCAUCAGGAAAGACAUCACUCACAGAAGAAGCACCAGCUAACUCCGUGCCAGCAGCCGCGGUAAUACGGAGGGUGCGAGCGUUAAUCGGAAUUACUGGGCGUAAAGCGCGCGUAGUUGGCUUGAUAAGCCGGUUGUGAAAGCCCCGGGCUCAACCUGGGAACGGCAUCCGGAACUGUCAAGCUAGAGUGCAGGAGAGGAAGGUAGAAUUCCCGGUGUAGCGGUGAAAUGCGUAGAGAUCGGGAGGAAUACCAGUGGCGAAGGCGGCCUUCUGGACUGACACUGACACUGAGGUGCGAAAGCGUGGGUAGCAAACAGGAUUAGAUACCCUUGUAGUC
RNAcentral lists this ribosomal RNA (465 nucleotides) under Vreelandella stevensii. RNAcentral's name for it is "partial 16S ribosomal RNA". It matches the Rfam family "Bacterial small subunit ribosomal RNA", at positions 338 to 795 of the family's 1533-position model. Lineage: Bacteria; Pseudomonadati; Pseudomonadota; Gammaproteobacteria; Oceanospirillales; Halomonadaceae. The record is from RNAcentral.